UCGAGAAUCUUCGGCAAUGGGCGAAAGCCUGACCCAGCCAUGCCGCGUGCAGGAUGAAGGCGUUAUGCGUUGUAAACUGCUUUUUAUAUAGGAAGAAAUAGUCCUUGCGAGGAAAGUUGACGGUACUAUAUGAAUAAGCACCGGCUAACUCCGUGCCAGCAGCCGCGGUAAUACGGAGGGUGCAAGCGUUGUCCGGAUUUAUUGGGUUUAAAGGGUGCGUAGGCGGUUUAUUAAGUCAGUGGUGAAAGACGGUCGCUCAACGAUUGCAGUGCCAUUGAUACUGGUAGACUUGAGUAUGAUUGAGGUAGCUGGAAUGGAUAGUGUAGCGGUGAAAUGCAUAGAUAUUAUCCAGAACACCAAUUGCGUAGGCAAGUUACUAAGUCAUAACUGACGCUGAGGCACGAAAGUGUGGGUAUCAAACAGGAUUAGAUACCCCAGUAGUCCCUGAGCGGGCUGGCAAGGCGCAU
RNAcentral lists this ribosomal RNA (467 nucleotides) under uncultured bacterium. RNAcentral's name for it is "bacterial SSU rRNA". It matches the Rfam family "Bacterial small subunit ribosomal RNA", at positions 355 to 825 of the family's 1533-position model. The record is from RNAcentral.